AUACGGAGGGUGCGAGCGUUAAUCGGAAUUACUGGGCGUAAAGCGUGCGUAGGCGGUUAUGUAAGACAGAUGUGAAAUCCCCGGGCUCAACCUGGGAACUGCAUUUGUGACUGCAUGACUGGAGUGCGGCAGAGGGGGAUGGAAUUCCGCGUGUAGCAGUGAAAUGCGUAGAUAUGCGGAGGAACACCGAUGGCGAAGGCAAUCCCCUGGGCCUGCACUGACGCUCAUGCACGAAAGCGUGGGGAGCAAACAGGAUUAGAAACCCCUGUAGUCC
RNAcentral lists this ribosomal RNA (274 nucleotides) under uncultured bacterium. RNAcentral's name for it is "partial 16S ribosomal RNA". It matches the Rfam family "Bacterial small subunit ribosomal RNA", at positions 523 to 796 of the family's 1533-position model. The record is from RNAcentral.